Molecule: long non-coding RNA, 1704 nt
Organism: Vicia villosa (hairy vetch)
Lineage: Eukaryota; Viridiplantae; Streptophyta; Magnoliopsida; Fabales; Fabaceae
Exons: 5
Source: RefSeq, a predicted model, not a curated record
CCGUCUCCGAUCGCCACUGUCUUCCUCCGACUUCGAUCUCUAUCGUCUUCCUCCGUCUCCGAUCUCAAUCGUCUUCCUCCGACUCCGAUUAACCUCGUUGUCUUCCGACUCCGAUUGUCCUUAUUCCUCCAUUUCGGAUCGAUAUUGUCUUCCUCAUUCUCCAAUUGAAAUCGCCAGUCCUCUCAAUCUCCAAUCGAUCCCUCAUCGAUUCUUUGUGUCUGAUGGAUCUAUGUUCUUUUAUGCUCCUUCUCUCCUCAGUUUUCAAAUUAUGGAGCGAUAUCUUAUCUCAAGCCCCAACUCCAAACCCUAGAACAUAGUUUCAUCUUCCUGUUUACUUCAUCCUCUUCUGCAUUUCAGUGAGGAUUUUAGGGACUAUGCUGAACUUUGCUUCAAGGAUUACUUUGAAUGAACCAAGAUGUGUACGAAUGGCUAUGCAAACAAAUGGUUUUCACUUGGGCGAUGUUUAGAUUGGUUGAAAAUGAAUCGCAAGGAGGUGAUCCGGGGACAUAACCAUAUUUGACUUUGCACUACCAGCUUCUUACUCAUGCAACUGUUUCAAAACUGCACUAGACUAAGCAUCUCAAAAGGGUUUACUAGUGAUUACCUUAAUCUCUGAUUGGUUUGGGCCUGUCUCUAAAGAGAUGUCAAAUUGUGAUGCGGCACAACGAGCCCUCGACUUCAUGUUUGGAUGGUAAAGAUUAAUCUUGACUAUUUCAAGCUCAACAAGAGAGAUUAUGUUCAGAAUAUGGUUGGAAUUGUGUCUCUUGAUCAGGCAAUUCAAAUGGCUGAAGAUGCCGAAGUCAACUUGGUAUGGCAACCUUUUCAUAUUGUAUAUUUGGCCGUAUAUGUUCUAUUGUUCUUCCAUUGAAUUUAGUUACAAUUACUCAGCAAAAUACAUGUAAUUUUCACUUUGUAUAGCUAUUAGCUAUUGUUAACUAUGUCGCUAUUAUACUUGUUUAUUUACACCGCAUUUUGUAGUUUGGACUUAGGACAUGAUUACAAUUAAAAAGAUUAGAAACCGAAACAGGGAGAGUUUAAUAAGUUUUUACUUAGACGGUCUGUUUAAAAGUAUUGCAACUGCAACGGAUAGAUUAGAGAGCCAUUUCUAGUUUUUUUUGUUGUUGAAAACCCAACUGUUUAAAAUUCGUUCUCAGUAUAUUCAUUCAGCAUACAUUCCUUUUCUAGUGGCAUUUGAGUAUAUAUUAUUUAUGAUAUGGCGCGAAUGCAUAGCCUUGCUUUCUCUCUACUUUUCUUUCCUCUGCAGGUAAUAGUAUCUGCGAAGGCAGAUCCUCCUGUGGUUAGAAUAAUGAAUUACAGGUUUGGUUAGGACUGAUGAAUACAAGGCAGCUCAUUCAGGAGAAGAAAAUCAACAACAAUCACUAAAAUAAGGAAUUGAUGCAAACAAUACAAGAAAAUUUACUGGAGGAACUUAUGGAGUUUCAAAUAGUGAGAAGAUGUGUGCCUCUACUUUUGAUUCUUUCUCACACUCUUCUCAUCCACCUACUAACAACUCAACUUAAGUAUCUUCAAGUAUCUUCAAGUGAAGGAUCCCAUGCUAGAAGAAAAGUUGUAUUUGUUAAGGCAGCCAUUAACACGUAAGGUUCUCAUGACUUAUAAAUACUUUGUUGGAAACGGAAGUUGAUAUGAAACAUGAGUUGUGAUUUAUGAAUUUUACAUAAAAUAGAAUAUUAUUGUGAUGUAUAU